RNAcentral lists this small nuclear RNA (108 nucleotides) under Erinaceus europaeus (western European hedgehog). The record is from RNAcentral. Lineage: Eukaryota; Metazoa; Chordata; Mammalia; Eulipotyphla; Erinaceidae.
GUGCUUGCUUUGGCAGCACAUAUACUAAAAAUUGGAAUGAUACAGAGAAGAUUAGCAUGGCACCUGCACAAGGAUGACACGCAAAUUUGUGAAGCAUUCUAUAUUUUU